CUGAGACUUAUCAGAGGGAACCUGAACAUUGCUUGUGAAGGUUCUUUUCUCAUCCCCAGCCCAGGACCUCUCCCCUUCCGACCCUACAUCCACUGCAGCUGGUCUGCCACAGUAAUAUAGAGAUGCCUCAGCCUCUCAGAGUGGUGUGGACCUCUCCUUACACGUGUGGACUACCACAUCAAGUUUAUUUGCUCUUUCUUCCCUGAGACAAAAUACUCUAAAACCACAACUUGAAGGAUCAGGAAGAAGCCUAGAAACUUAUGAAAAAAGAAACAUGGUCUUUAGAAAUAAAGAAAGACUUCUGAUUAAUAGCAAGAAAGAAAAGUAGAAGCUCAUAUCUACAAAUGCCAAGAAUCUUACUACUUUUGGAAGCAGAUUACUUCUCAGAGCCUCCAAUAAGAAACUGGCUUGGCUGUCAACUUCAUCUAGACUUAGUAAGGACUACAUUCAAAUUUUAAUCUACAGAGCUGUGGAUUGAUCAACUUGUAUUGUUGUGAGCCCCUAAAUGUGUGAUUUGAUAUGUUGCCAAUAGAAAACAAAUGCACCACAUCCACAUUAUCUGUGAAAUGAUUCACACAUUAAUUCAAGAUUUUAAAAAUAUUUCCUGAAUUUAUUUAUAAUAGCUCUGCUAGGCAAUGCUGAUUGUUUGUAAUGUCCUCAGUUAAAUUACAAGUUCCCUGAAGCUAGAGUCCCAGCUUGAUUUAUUAUCAUGAUUUGUACCAUCCAUCAGGUAGCUCUUUUCUGAAAUCUGACUCUGAGUUCUCCAAUGUUACUGAAAGUCAGUUGAUU
Long non-coding RNA from Heterocephalus glaber (naked mole-rat), 789 nucleotides. NCBI's taxonomy places the organism in Eukaryota, Metazoa, Chordata, Mammalia, Rodentia, Bathyergidae. The record is from Ensembl.